This 437-nucleotide ribosomal RNA is filed under the name uncultured Chlamydia sp. RNAcentral's name for it is "bacterial SSU rRNA". It matches the Rfam family "Bacterial small subunit ribosomal RNA", at positions 62 to 480 of the family's 1533-position model. The record is from RNAcentral. Lineage: Bacteria; Pseudomonadati; Chlamydiota; Chlamydiia; Chlamydiales; Chlamydiaceae.
UCGAACGGAAUAAUGGCUUCGGCUAUUAUUUAGUGGCGGAAGGGUUAGUAAUACAUAGAUAAUUUGUUCUUAACUUGGGAAUAACGGUUGGAAACGGCCGCUAAUACCGAAUGUGGUGUGUUUAGGCAUCUAAAUUACAUUAAAGAAGGGGAUCUUCGGACCUUUCGGUUAAGAGAAAGUCUGUGGGAUAUCAGCUUGUUGGUGGGGUAAUGGCCUACCAAGGCUAUGACGUCUAGGCGGAUUGAGAGAUUGACCGCCAACACUGGGACUGAGACACUGCCCAGACUCCUACGGGAGGCUGCAGUCGAGAAUCUUUCGCAAUGGACGAAAGUCUGACGAAGCGACGCCGCGUGUGUGAUGAAGGCUCUAGGGUUGUAAAGCACUUUCGCCUGGGAAUAAGAGAGAUUGGCUAAUAUCCAAUUGAUUUGAGCGUACCA